CGAGGCCUAGGCAUCCCAGCAACCCCACCUGUGAAAACACUUCAGCCUGGGCCCUAAGCAGAGAUGAACAGCAAGCUGCUCACCAUGCUGACAGCACUUCCCUGUGUGUUUUACUUCAUCAUGAAAUCCAAAUUUGGUGCUGAAGUGCCCAUCUAAGCUCACUCACUUGCCUCUUUAAGACAAGAAGAUAUCCAUGGCUGGAAUGACUUGGGAAUUUGAUAAAAUCAAUUAAGAAUGUCUAUAGAUGGAAAAAACAAAACUCCAUAGUGAUUAGAGGCAAAGGAUGGUCAGCAAAUCAUUGUUUCUGGCUGCUACCAUGAAGUGAGCAGCUUUGCUCUGCCAUGAUGUUUCUGCUUUGGAGCCAGCCAACCAUAGACUGAAUCCUCAAACUGUGAGCCAAAAUAAACUCGCCUCAUUUCAGUUAUUGCGGAAGAGGAAGCCACUUAGCUACAAUUACCCAGAAGGUCAUGAGCACUGAGGAUUUAGUCCCUUGAAAUCAAUUAUUUGGUGUGAAGAGAAGAAAAGGAACAUUUAAUGGAGACCUAUGUGUACGUCAUCUCUUCAAUCCCCUCUAUGGACCCUCAAGAUAAAUAUUCUUUAGGGUGAGAAAUGAGUUCUGGGGGUCAGAGCCAGUUUAGGUCAGUCUGAUUCCAAGGCCAACUGGCUUCCACUGCUGUUAAAACUAUGUGUCAC
Molecule: long non-coding RNA, 693 nt
Filed under: Heterocephalus glaber (naked mole-rat)
Lineage: Eukaryota; Metazoa; Chordata; Mammalia; Rodentia; Bathyergidae
Description: lncRNA (ENSHGLG00000037017.1)
Source: RNAcentral